GACAGUGUGGUGCAGUGGUUGAAUGUUCGACUACGAUUCUGGAGACCAGGGUUCAAAUCCCUGCUCAGCCA
Phrynosoma platyrhinos (Desert horned lizard) is the source of this 71-nucleotide non-coding RNA. Lineage: Eukaryota; Metazoa; Chordata; Lepidosauria; Squamata; Phrynosomatidae. The record is from the annotation of a GenBank genome assembly.